Gadus morhua (Atlantic cod) is the source of this 3637-nucleotide long non-coding RNA. RefSeq lists it as uncharacterized. The record is from RefSeq and is a predicted model, not a curated record. The transcript has 13 exons. NCBI's taxonomy places the organism in Eukaryota, Metazoa, Chordata, Actinopteri, Gadiformes, Gadidae.
AUACAAAACACGACGGUAACUGAGUAAGUCAAACCGUCGAAUCUGAAGGCUCUACUUAAAGCUAGGGUGGGUAAUUUCUUUACUGUAAUAUUUGGCAAAACUGUCCUAAUAGCCAGUCAGCUAUAUGUAGGUGAAGUGCUCGGAGAAUAUCUGCUCAUAACUUUGCUCUCCCCUGCCUCUGUGGGCCGCACCCAAAAAUUGCCACCGCUCAUGUACACUUUGACCAAUCAGAGCGAGGCUCCGAUUCUCCGUUCUUAUUGGCUGUGGGACUGUCCGUCACCUUGGCAACGACGUUGGUGCGUCCCUGCGUGAGCGUUCACGAGCCUAGCAGUCUGACAGUUUUGUACUACUACGGCGGACAACAAAUGAAUAGCCAUGUCUUCAUCAACGGCCCAUAAAUUUCCCAUUCCCCGGAUACCAUCAACUAACACCACUAAGACAGCGAAAAAUAGAGGAAAGACACUUGUUGAAAGGACAGCUACUAAAAGGGAGGCGGAGAGAGCUCGAAAUAAAACCAAAGUAAACAUCGGCGUGGCUUAUGAGCGAUGGAGAGAGUUAAAAACUUAAAAGCGGACGCUGAGAUGGCUACAUUUCUUAUAGACAGGUAAGGAAUUGUGUUAUCUCUCCAUGGUAUAUUGUGAUGAAUAUGUAAAGUGUCGGCUGGUAUGGUUUUUUACUAAGCAUAGCCACGAUAACCGUUACAUUACCGUUCUGUAAUGUAACCAUUUCAAUACGGUUCUGUAUGAUGUCUUGCAUCGGCCCAUGGUUCUUUUCCCGGUCCGUUUUAUAGGUUAGUUAUGGUCACAACAACCCUGUCGGAAUAACACAGAGUUUGUGCUAACACGUGGCCUAGGCCUCAACUCAACUGUUGAUAAUGUCCGAGUCACGUUUGUGUAAAAGCUACUUUGACACAACUGCCAAGAUAAGUACAGCGAGGGAAGUCUAGCAUAAGAUAUUCCAUGUAUUGUUAUAACGUUGUUGCAAGCUAGCAGCAGCCUAGCUCAGUUUCGCGAUCGCUUUGAAGUGACGGUUUCCUUGUGUGUAAUCUGGCUUUCUGUGUUAUUUUAACAAACAUAUAUAUUUUUUUAAUUCCGAUAACGUUUUUCUUUGUUGUCCAAUCACUGUUGUGCUUGACCUGUUUUGGCAGUUAUGAGAACCUCACAUCCCCUACUUCAUCCACACCAUGCAAGCGCAGGAGAAACCUGCCUCUUCCCCCAGCUUCAAGCAUACAUUCAGAGACCCUCUUAGACAGAGCCGAUGACUUCUUGGAUGCUCAAGAUGUAGAGGACACCAAUCCUGCCACUACAUUUCAAAGUAUGGAUGCAAGUACUUCUUCACAGGUAACUGACAUUGAAGUCAUAACUGAAGAAGAAUUUAAUGACAUCCGGAACUCUACAAUUGGCUGGGCCGAUAACACCUGGGAAGAUGACAGUUGGCACCCAGAAAUGGAGAUGGACGAUGGGUCAUCUUCAGAGGAGGAAGAAAUGAUGGGGGAAGACAGCGAAUGCAGUGAUGACAGUGACAUCGAUUACGUGCCUUAUCUCUGUGUGCGGACUGGUGGAGCUCUCCAAAAGAGCAAAUGGCUGGACACAUUACCAGCUGUUGGUCUGGAGGAGACUGUUCAUGACAUUGAUGAUGGACACAAUUCCUCAGAAGUGAUACCACCGCUACCAGAGAAGACCCAAGUCCUCUGCAAGGAAGAUAUAAUUGGACAACCAGCUUCCAUUGUCUACCAUAGCUGUCUUAAACAGCUGGCUCAGUAUCUCGUCGUACCAAUCCCCAAGUGCAACACAAAGGACCCAGUAACUGAUGCUGAAUGUGGAGCACUUAGACCAUUUGAAGUGAAAAUAACUUCCAGGGGCACAUCAGUUGUCGUGGAAUAGAUAUGUCAUCAGGGUCACAGUGUCUGGAGGUGGAACUCCCAGCCCACUCUAAAAUAUGGCAUGCAUGCAGGUGACUUCAUGUUGUCCUCGAACAUCCUCCUCUCUGGGAACAACUACGGGAAGGUGGCUCUGCUGUUCAAAUUCAUGAACUUGGGAAUAGUACAUAGAAGAACAUUCUUUAAAAUCCAGGACGCCUACUGCGUUGACGCCAUCGAGAACUACUGGGAUGACAAGAGGUCAGCCAUUAUUACCCGGCUGAAAUCAAAGGACAGUGUAGUGGCCCUUGGUGACGGUCGUAUGGAUAGUCCUGGGUUUUCAGCACAGUACUGUACAUACACAACGAUGGACAACGACAGUAAAGAGAUCAUAUCGAUUGUCAAUAUUGAUAAGAGGGAGACCCAGAAGAAUUCUGUAAUCAUGGAGAAGGAGGCUUUCAUCCGGACCUUUGAGACCCUCCACCAAGAGAUUCGCCUACAAGAGUUUUGCACUGAUGCUCAUUCACAGAUCUCGGCGCUCUUCAAUCCAACAAAAGGCAGGUUCAAGGACUCUGGUGUUUGACACACCCUUGACAUCUGGCAUGGGUCAAAGAACUUGGGUAAAAAAAUCAAUGCAGCAGGCCAUCGGAAAGGAUGUUCAAUUCUCCUUACCUGGAGUAAGGAGAUAUGCAACCAUUUCUGGUAUUGCUGUAAGACUGCACAGAACACUAAUCAGUUCGGUGAUAUGUGGACAGGUCUUCUCCACCAUGUUCAAGGAGAGCACAAGUGGGCACUAUCUUGCUGUGAACAUGGCCCCGUAUCGGCCGACAGGGAGAAGGAGUGGAUCCAGAGUGAUUCUGAGGCCUUUCAGUUACUGUCAGAAAUAGUGCUGGAUGAGCACUGGCUGAAGAAUGUGGAGAAGUUCCUGAGUUUCAGGUCAACCGCUGAGCUGGAAUCCUUCCAUAAUCAUAUACUGAUGUAUGCCAGCAAGCGAUUCAGCUUUAGCCCACCUGUUUACAAGGCUCGCACCCUCUUAGCAGCGUUGGACUAUAACCAUCAUGUUCACAGACCGGUGAAGAGGAAGGCUGAUGGCUCAAUAGAGUACUGCAAGCUCUACAAUAAAAAGUCAAAGACUUGGAGUCUAUACACAGUGAAGGUGGAGAAGGACUACGGAUACAUGGCAGACCUGCAGAGUGCUAUCCUAGAAGCCCGGCUGACAUCAGACAAGGGUUUGCCAAAGACCAGAAAAAAAAGGCCAAAUGACCCACGGCAAUAUGGGGUUCUUGCAAGCAUCCCACCUCCCACCACCCAGGACCUGUUGCAAACCCAAUUCCACAGAGGAGUAGGGCAAGGAAUGCAGUAAGAGACCAUAGAAGAGAUUGGAGGUCCCAUACCAACUAAACUGAAGCUGACUGUAGGCUGCUGGGGGCUGUUUGGAACAGUAUUACGCUGCUCACUUUUUGAUUUUUGAUAUUUGUAAAUAUUCGAUUUAUUAGGUCUAAAUGUCCUUCACAGUUUUGUAUUAUUUACACUUGGUUCUUAUAAAAUAUAUUUAAAAAAAUAGGAUUUUGUAUAUAGUUUUUUAUGAUCAAUUUGUUUAUAAUUGACAUAUUUUCAAUGCAGUUGCACGAUUGUUCUGCUAAAAAGGCAUUUUGUUAUGUAGUGCUUUUAUACUUAUUUAGAAUUUGCACUUGUGCUGCAUGUAGUCAUCGAAGGCCAGGGUGUUCCUGUGUGUGUGAGUUAUUAUCUUAUUGUUUUAUUAUUUAAUAAAAAAGCUUU